CACACGCAUGCAUGCAGACAGACACUGAUGUGUAGAAACGCACAUGCACGCAUGCAUGCCCAGAUACACAGACAGACGCGUCUGUGUCUUUGUACAGUAACACACAGGCAGUUUAAAAGCAUGUUAAAGCCAGACCUCUUUAUUGCACCUAACUUCACCCCACAAGAGGGUAAACAGGGAAAUAUAAAGAGGGAAAAUAUGGUUACACGGUGGGGAGGGGAGGGUAAUUAGGCUUAUACGCUGUCAAAUACACUUUUAGCUGGAAUAAAAUAUUUUUCGUAAUUAUAGCAAUAUUUGUAUUCAUAAUAUCUGUUUGCCUGGUUACAAAUUGUGUUUAUUGCAUUUAUUUUGUAGUUUUUCAUUCCAAUGUAGAGAUUCCAUGCAGGACCAAAGACAGGGAAGGUGUGUACCAGUAGUGUUUUUAUUUUAAUAUAAGUUAUUGUUUCGAUGUUAUGAAGCUUAUAUCCGUGCGACAUAAGUCUGCGAUUCUACUGAAUCAGGAAGUAUUGCUGUUGUGUAGAAGCCCAGCCGCGGUGUUCCGUUUAGAGACGGGCGAUCCUGCUCCACACUCCAGAGCGGAAUUCUGGCCCGGGCCCGUUCCUCACACUGUGGCACCCCUGCAGCCGCACACGCCUCUUUGCUCCUCGCCCGUCCCCUGUGUUUAAACCGUCACUGUGUGCGGUUUUCCCCCCCACCAUCUGCUGUAUCAGAGCUGGUUUGAAUGCUGGUUUUUAUCCAUAGUCUCUAGGGAGGGCUGUUUAACUGAAUCCCUGUCUCUGUAACAGAUCCAUAAGUUUUCAGCCGUGUAACAGAUUCGUAACGUGGUUGCUGGGUUUAAUCGACAGUGUGUGGCUGUGCGUGGUGCUCUAGAGCUCCCCCCUAUGGCAGGAUUGUAUACUGCUGUGCACUGGCCCUUGUCAGCCUAUAGCAGGGGUUCCCAAUCAUAUCUUAAAAGGGCUGAUGUGGGUGCAGAUUUUUGUUUUGGCCCAGCACUAAGACUCCUGAUUGUACUUUUGAAGGUCAUGAUUGAAGACCAUGAUCAGUUAAUUUGUUAUUGCUGGGCCAAAAAAAAAACCUGCACCUGCACCAGCCCUUUUCGGAUAAGACUGGGGACCCCUACUCUAUACUGUACACUUCACUGACUUGGACAGUGUAAUUGGUGCAUCUGCUUCAGUCACCACAGUGGAAUGGACUGAAGUAUUAGUGUUGAUGUAUUACUAAUGAGUGUAAUGAGUGAGUCUGGUAGCACCGUGAGACAGUGAUGUCAUAUGAACAGACAUUACACCGCGAGGCAGUGAUGUCAUAUGAACAGACAUUACACCGUGAGACAGUGGUGCCGUAUGAACAGACAUUACACCGUGAGACAGUGGUGCCGUAUGAACAGACAUUACACCGUGAGACAGUGGUGCCGUAUGAACAGACAUUACACCGCGAGGCAGUGAUGUCACAUGAACAGACAUUCCCCCCUUCCUACCAUUCACAGCUUUAAGCCGUGAAGGACUGAGAACUGAGCUCUGGAGUCUGGAAAGGGGACGGAGGCUGCGGUUUUGGGUUUUUAUUGCUAGUACUGUAAUGAAUAUUGCUGCAGUUGUUAUGAAUUAUGCAUCCUCAUUGCCGUAGAAACCGCUAACCCUGCUGCGCGGCUACGCUGUUGGCGCUGCGAUUGUUAUUUAAUGGCCUGUAGGUGGCGCCGGUCACAGGAGACGCGUUUAGUUCAGCUUUAGCGCUGCCUUUUACCGCUCCCUGCUCUUCUUCUUUGGUUUCUUUUCUCCUCCUGGCCUCCUGCCCCCCUACCCUUUCAGUCUGCCCUGCGUGACAGGGGAGGGGGCGGGGCAAAAUGCAACCAAAUCGACUCUCAGAACUUUUGUUUUUUCGUCAGGGUUGUCUGUUUCUUGUCUUUCUGUCUGUCCGUGUCUGUACAUCUCAGCCUGUCUGUGUGGGACGCGCUCGCUCGGUCUCGCUCUCCUCCUCUGUCCUCCUCUGUCCUCCGCGCAGGGAGAGGCGCCUCCUUCCUCUGUUCCGUUCGCUUUUCGUAAUCGCACAAUGUUACUGUAUUUUUUUUUCCCCGUUUCCCCCUUUUGUUUUUGUAUUUUUUUUAUUUAUUUAUUUUUAUUUGGCUUUAUCGGGUGGGAUUGGCUGUUUGAGCAAAGCGAAGUAAGCAUGUGCUAUGCAUCGGCAGGUAAGAGAGAGAGAGAGACUCGCUUCGCUUCACCUCGCCCAGCGGUCUGAGACUCUUCACUUUCGUGUCCUCGUGCGUGCGUGCGUGCGUGCGUGCGUGUUCAUGUCCAUGUGCACAAGUGGGUUGCAUGCAUGCACAUGGGUGUUCAUGCAUGCCUCUGUGUGUGUGUGUGUGUGUGUGUGUGAUGUGUGUGAGUGUAUGACUGUGUGCGGACUCUCCUGUUUGUUCUCUCCCCCUCUGCUCGGUGCAUAAGGCCUGUUCAGUUCCUGUCUGUCUGUGUUUGGACAGACCUGCAGUGGAUCAGACUGCUGGGGACCAGAGCUAGCGUUGUCUCUGCAUCUCUCUUCCCUCUCUCGCCCCGUAUGUAUCCCAUAUACGAAUACAUAGCGAUAUGUAUGUAUGAAUAUAUUUAUAGAGAAGGGUGCCUUGUCUAGUGAUCAACCUUGAUUCUUUUCAAAGGGCUUUCUGGUGAACGUUGUCGUUCCUCUGCUGUUAUGAACGAUUUGGGCUGUAAAAGGUCAAAAGUGACCGGUUCUAAGGUCCAGGCUGUUUUUUCAUGGAUCGAGGCCCCCCCCCCCCAUUUCAAAUGAACAAUAUGGGAUUGGUCUCACAUGUAACAGCUGUUUGCCACACCAGGUGUGUUUUUGUGGUCUUGUCCGCCAAGUUAAAUUGUCACCAGAAGGUGUUUUAGUACAGAUCAAGCCUUGAUCACUGCACUGAGGUGUCCAGCACGUGUCUAUCUAUCUAUAUGAAUAUACAAGAAUUAUACUGUGUAUUUGGGCUUUCAUUUUAUUGUGUAAGAGGGUUGUUUUUUUAAAAGAUUAUGUAUACUUAAGAGAGUUGAGGUACGUUUUUUAAUUAUUAUUUUCUUUUUUAAAUAAAUUGGAAAACGUUCAA
This is a long non-coding RNA of Anguilla rostrata (American eel), 3076 nucleotides long. RefSeq lists it as uncharacterized. The transcript has 2 exons. Lineage: Eukaryota; Metazoa; Chordata; Actinopteri; Anguilliformes; Anguillidae. The record is from RefSeq and is a predicted model, not a curated record.